This 279-nucleotide ribosomal RNA is filed under the name uncultured bacterium. Its description in RNAcentral is "partial 16S ribosomal RNA". It matches the Rfam family "Bacterial small subunit ribosomal RNA", at positions 506 to 784 of the family's 1533-position model. The record is from RNAcentral.
UGCCAGCAGCCGCGGUAAUACGGAGGGUGCAAGCGUUGUCCGGAUUUAUUGGGUUUAAAGGGUGCGUAGGCGGCGCAUUAAGUCAGUGGUGAAAUCCUGCAGCUUAACUGUAGAACUGCCAUUGAUACUGAUGUGCUUGAGUGUCGUUGAGGCAGGCGGAAUUUAUGGUGUAGCGGUGAAAUGCAUAGAUACCAUAAAGAACACCGAUAGCGAAGGCAGCUUGCUUAACGAUAACUGACGCUGAUGCACGAAAGCGUGGGUAGCGAACAGGAUUAGAUA